UACGUAGGGUGCAAGCGUUGUCCGGAAUUAUUGGGCGUAAAGAGCUCGUAGGCGGUCUGUCGCGUCUGCUGUGAAAACCUAGGGCUUAACUCUGGGCGUGCAGUGGGUACGGGCAGGCUAGAGUGCGGUAGGGGAGACUGGAAUUCCUGGUGUAGCGGUGAAAUGCGUAGAUAUCAGGAGGAACACCCGUGGCGAAGGCGGCUCUCUGGAUCGACCCUGACGCUGAGGCGCGAAAGCGUGGGGAGCGAACAGG
This 253-nucleotide ribosomal RNA is filed under the name uncultured bacterium. RNAcentral describes it as "partial 16S ribosomal RNA". It matches the Rfam family "Bacterial small subunit ribosomal RNA", at positions 524 to 776 of the family's 1533-position model. The record is from RNAcentral.